ACCAUCAUCAUCAUCAUCAAAAGGAGGCCGCAGCGGGAGCCAGAGUGAUAUCGUGAUCUCCCUCUCCUCCAUCGGGGAUCGGCGUGGGGAAAUCGAUGGUAGCUGGCUGCGUAGAUCAUCCCGAUCGAUCGCCUGCCUGAUUAGAACAGAGGAAGAAGAAGGCGAGAGGGGAUGGGUUGGUGGUGGGGUGGACAGCAGAAGAACAAAGAACCGUGCAAGAAGGAGGCCUGCGACAUCCAGGCCUGCCUCUCCAAGAACAACUUCAACCCCGAGAGGUGCAUGAAGGUCAUUGGACUGUUGCAACUAUGCUGUGAAAAGUGCAACUAUGACUCAACACAUUGUGCUCCACUUGCUGGACUUCUGAAAACAAAUACCAAGUGACACACUGCAAAUAUUGAACCAUGAAGCUUCAUGAUUACCCAACAGUAAUUUCUCUGACAAUUGGCCUGACUUUCUAUGAUGGGAGAAAGUCUAUGAGUUUUGUGGAUCAUUUAUUUUCGUUUUCUCUUCAACAGACAAUUUAUGUUGAAAAAUAUUAUUUCUGCAGGAGCUGAAAGAAUGGAGAAAUGGCAGAUUUAGAUGACUUUCUAUGAUGGAGAAAUGGACUACUGACGAUGUAAAACAACUUUUUCUUUUUUGCACGGCAUGUUCACGUCUGCUUUUUUCCCCGGUUUUUUUAGAACUUUAGCUGUAGUAUUUUAAGUUGAAAAUUGUGAGAAAAAAAAAUUGAAAUUGCAGAAGAAUAGCAAGAUAAUUUCUGUUUUCAUUUUCCUUUUUUUUCUGGAAAAUAAUGGAGGGUGAACCAUCACUUGGUAAAGAUUUACCUUAGUGAAAUAAUUGGCAGCCACAUUUGGAUUCUGGUCCAAAGCCUGUAAAAGAUUUUAAAUUGCAUGAA
RNA transcript from Musa acuminata AAA Group (dessert banana), 895 nucleotides. It is a transcript of the gene named cx9C motif-containing protein 4, mitochondrial, with no coding region annotated. The transcript is spliced from 3 exons. NCBI's taxonomy places the organism in Eukaryota, Viridiplantae, Streptophyta, Magnoliopsida, Zingiberales, Musaceae. The record is from RefSeq and is a predicted model, not a curated record.